Molecule: long non-coding RNA, 258 nt
Organism: Cyprinus carpio carpio
Lineage: Eukaryota; Metazoa; Chordata; Actinopteri; Cypriniformes; Cyprinidae
Source: Ensembl
GUGGUCUGAUGUUCUACUUCCUUAUUCACCCAUUGUGAGAGUCUCAUUCUGUAUCUUCUCUCACACUCGCUGUUAUGGAGUUGUUCAUCCUCAUAGUUUUUCUGCUCCUGAUGGAGGUUCAGUCUCACCAAUGAAACAAACAAGGGUAAAUAACAAAGGAACACUGAUCAAGACCAGAAAUCUAAGACAGGAGCAUCAACAGGGAAACAUGAGGGGAACAAGGUCACAAACAAGACAGAGCUACAAACUAAGAGUCCA